RNAcentral lists this transfer RNA (116 nucleotides) under Sphingobacterium faecium. Its description in RNAcentral is "tRNA-OTHER". It matches the Rfam family "tRNA". From Rfam's summary of the family: Transfer RNA (tRNA) molecules are approximately 80 nucleotides in length. Their secondary structure includes four short double-helical elements and three loops (D, anti-codon, and T loops). The record is from RNAcentral. Lineage: Bacteria; Pseudomonadati; Bacteroidota; Sphingobacteriia; Sphingobacteriales; Sphingobacteriaceae.
GAGGGUGUGGCGAAAUUGGUAGACGCAGCAGUUAGCUGUCAUCAUGGACGGAUAGCAACCGUUUAAAUGUAUGUCGAGGUACACAUGAUUUACAGGUUCGAAUCCUGUUGCCCUCA